GAUGAACGCUGGCGGCGUGCCUAAUACAUGCAAGUCGAGCGAACAGACGAGGAGCUUGCUCCUCUGACGUUAGCGGCGGACGGGUGAGUAACACGUGGAUAACCUACCUAUAAGACUGGGAUAACUUCGGGAAACCGGAGCUAAUACCGGAUAAUAUGUUGAAUCGCAUGGUUCAACAGUGAAAGACGGUCUUGCUGUCACUUAUAGAUGGAUCCGCGCCGCAUUAGCUAGUUGGUAAGGUAACGGCUUACCAAGGCAACGAUGCGUAGCCGACCUGAGAGGGUGGUCGGCCACACUGGAACUGAGACACGGUCCAGACUCCUACGGGAGGCAGCAGUAGGGAAUCUUCCGCAAUGGGCGAAAGCCUGACGGAGCAACGCCGCGUGAGUGAAGAAGGUCUUCGGAUCGUAAAACUCUGUUAUUAGGGAAGAACAAAUGUGUAAGUAACUAUGCACGUCUUGACGGUACCUAAUCAGAAAGCCACGGCUAACUACGUG
Molecule: ribosomal RNA, 497 nt
Filed under: uncultured bacterium
Lineage: Bacteria
Description: partial 16S ribosomal RNA
Rfam family: Bacterial small subunit ribosomal RNA
Source: RNAcentral